Molecule: ribosomal RNA, 253 nt
Filed under: uncultured microorganism
Description: partial 16S ribosomal RNA
Rfam family: Bacterial small subunit ribosomal RNA
Source: RNAcentral
UACGGAGGGUGCGAGCGUUAUUCGGAAUUACUGGGCGUAAAGCGCGUGUAGGCGGCAGGGCAAGUCUGGUGUGAAAGCCCGGGGCUCAACCCCGGAAGUGCAUUGGAAACUGCUCUGCUUGAGUACCGGAGAGGAAGGGGGAAUUCCCGGUGUAGCGGUGAAAUGCGUAGAUAUCGGGAGGAAUACCAGUGGCGAAGGCGGCCAUCUGGCUGGUAACUGACGCUGAGGUGCGAGAGCGUGGGGAGCAAACAGG